This 506-nucleotide ribosomal RNA is filed under the name uncultured Comamonadaceae bacterium. Its description in RNAcentral is "bacterial SSU rRNA". It matches the Rfam family "Bacterial small subunit ribosomal RNA", at positions 981 to 1487 of the family's 1533-position model. Lineage: Bacteria; Pseudomonadati; Pseudomonadota; Betaproteobacteria; Burkholderiales; Comamonadaceae. The record is from RNAcentral.
UUGACAUGUACGGAACUCGCCAGAGAUGGCUUGGUGCUCGAAAGAGAGCCGUAACACAGGUGCUGCAUGGCUGUCGUCAGCUCGUGUCGUGAGAUGUUGGGUUAAGUCCCGCAACGAGCGCAACCCUUGUCAUUAGUUGCUACAUUUAGUUGGGCACUCUAAUGAGACUGCCGGUGACAAACCGGAGGAAGGUGGGGAUGACGUCAAGUCCUCAUGGCCCUUAUAGGUGGGGCUACACACGUCAUACAAUGGCUGGUACAAAGGGUUGCCAACCCGCGAGGGGGAGCUAAUCCCAUAAAGCCAGUCGUAGUCCGGAUCGUAGUCUGCAACUCGACUACGUGAAGUCGGAAUCGCUAGUAAUCGUGGAUCAGAAUGUCACGGUGAAUACGUUCCCGGGUCUUGUACACACCGCCCGUCACACCAUGGGAGCGGGUUCUGCCAGAAGUAGUUAGCCUAACCGCAAGGAGGGCGCUUACCACGGCAGGGUUCGUGACUGGGGUGAAGUC